AUUGAACGCUGGCGGCAGGCCUAACACAUGCAAGUCGAGCGAGCGGCGGACGGGUGAGUAAUGUAUGGGAACCUGCCUGAUGGCGGGGGAUAACUACUGGAAACGGUAGCUAAUACCGCAUACCAUCAGAUGUACCCAUAUGGGAUUAGCUUGUAGGUGGGGUAAAGGCUCACCUAGGCGACGAUCCCUAGCUGGUCUGAGAGGAUGAGCAGCCACACGGGAACUGAGACACGGCCCAGACUCCUACGGGAGGCAGCAGUGGGGAAUAUUGCACAAUGGGCGCAAGCCUGAUGCAGCCAUGCCGCGUGUAUGAAGAAGGCCUUCGGGUUGUAAAGUACUUUCAGCGAGGAGGCGUUACCCGCAGAAGAAGCACCGGCUAACUCCGUGCCAGCAGCCGCGGUAAUUC
Molecule: ribosomal RNA, 406 nt
Filed under: uncultured bacterium
Lineage: Bacteria
Description: partial 16S ribosomal RNA
Rfam family: Bacterial small subunit ribosomal RNA
Source: RNAcentral